Molecule: long non-coding RNA, 836 nt
Organism: Impatiens glandulifera
Lineage: Eukaryota; Viridiplantae; Streptophyta; Magnoliopsida; Ericales; Balsaminaceae
Exons: 3
Source: RefSeq, a predicted model, not a curated record
CAUAACCCAGCCCGAUAGCCUAUCCUACUCCCCGAUUAUUUCAUUUCUCUUUCCCUCCGCGCCGAUCCAAAUCUUCUGCCGUCCUAUCUCUUCCGCCGCCGUCGCCGAGAGCUCCAUCGCCAAUCCAAAUCUUCCGCCAACGUCGUCGAGAGAUCCGCCGCCGUCCAAAUCCGUAUAAAUGGCACGUCAAAAAAGCUUUCCGCCAUGAUUUUUGCAAUCACAACUCAAUUUACUUAGAAAGAAAAAAGGAUUCGGGUGACUCUUCAUCGCAUACUCCAGUGGAGGAUCUCCCUAAGGAGAAAAAUCUUAUAGAUCCCACAUGACCAUCCACUGAUGAGAGGCCAUCCACUAAUGAUGGUGUGUAAAAUCUAGAUGAGCCCACACAGUUGACUGAUAAAGGCACAAAUACAGAGUCUUUCAGCUCCUAAAGAAGGCGAGGUAGCAACAAAAACUUUGAAUUGGCCAAAUUGAUGGCUAAUGGAGAAAAGGUGCGGGUCACAUUCAACCCAAUUGAUAGAAAGCUGUGCUUAAAAAAUAGGGGCAUGUGGAGUCGGUAUUUGGGGGCCAUUGUUCGAGAGAAUAAUAUUAUUUCACAUUGCACAGUCCAUUGACGCCACCUCACCCCACCGCCUUAUAUACUCUAUGACAAUCCGUUAUUGAUAAAUUUGAUUCAGAUGAUAUUGAGAGUUAUCAAGACGACGCUUUGAGACACAUAAAGACGAGGUGGGAGGAUUUGAGGUAUGACAUAAAUCUCAAUAGGAUAAGGAAGCACAAAGAAAAUGUGGAAGCAAUCAGGACGAAUAAGCCUGAUGAAAUGACCCAACAAAAUUGAGAAU